This 413-nucleotide ribosomal RNA is filed under the name uncultured Oxalobacter sp. Its description in RNAcentral is "bacterial SSU rRNA". It matches the Rfam family "Bacterial small subunit ribosomal RNA", at positions 505 to 918 of the family's 1533-position model. Lineage: Bacteria; Pseudomonadati; Pseudomonadota; Betaproteobacteria; Burkholderiales; Oxalobacteraceae. The record is from RNAcentral.
GUGCCAGCAGCCGCGGUAAUACGUAGGGUGCGAGCGUUAAUCGGAAUUACUGGGCGUAAAGCGUGCGCAGGCGGUUUUGUAAGUCUGACGUGAAAGCCCCGGGCUUAACCUGGGAAUUGCGUUGGAGACUGCAAGGCUUGAAUCUGGCAGAGGGGGGUGGAAUUCCACGUGUAGCAGUGAAAUGCGUAGAGAUGUGGAGGAACACCGAUGGCGAAGGCAGCCCCCUGGGUCAAGAUUGACGCUCAUGCACGAAAGCGUGGGGAGCAAACAGGAUUAGAUACCCUGGUAGUCCACGCCCUAAACGAUGUCUACUAGUUGUCGGGUCUUAAUUGACUUGGUAACGCAGCUAACGCGUGAAGUAGACCGCCUGGGGAGUACGGUCGCAAGAUUAAAACUCAAAGAAAUUGACGGGA